Molecule: ribosomal RNA, 508 nt
Filed under: uncultured bacterium
Lineage: Bacteria
Description: partial 16S ribosomal RNA
Rfam family: Bacterial small subunit ribosomal RNA
Source: RNAcentral
GAUGAACGCUAGCUACAGGCUUAACACAUGCAAGUCGAGGGGAAACGACAUCGAAAGCUUGCUUUCGAUGGGCGUCGACCGGCGCACGGGUGAGUAACGCGUAUCCAACCUGCCCACCACUUGGGGAUAACCUUGCGAAAGUAAGACUAAUACCCAAUGAUAUCUCUAGAAGACAUCUGAAAGAGAUUAAAGAUUUAUCGGUGAUGGAUGGGGAUGCGUCUGAUUAGCUUGUUGGCGGGGUAACGGCCGACCAAGGCUACGAUCAGUAGGGGUACUAAGAGGAAGGUCCCCAACAGUGGAACUGAGACACGGUCCAAACUCCUACGGGAGGCAGCAGUGAGGAAUAUUGGUAAAUGGACGAGAGUCUGAACCAGCCAAGUAGCGUGCAGGAUGACGGCCCUAUGGGUUGUAAACUGCUUUUAUAAGGGAAUAAAGUGAGUCUCGUGAGACUUUUUGCAUGUACCUUAUGAAUAAGGACCGGCUAAUUCCGUGCCAGCCGCCGCAGUAA